This 1387-nucleotide ribosomal RNA is filed under the name bacterium. RNAcentral describes it as "bacterial SSU rRNA". It matches the Rfam family "Bacterial small subunit ribosomal RNA", at positions 65 to 1435 of the family's 1533-position model. The record is from RNAcentral.
AACGCUGCAGAGAGGAGCUUGCUCUUCUUGGAUGAGUUGCGAACGGGUGAGUAACGCGUAGGUAACCUGCCUUGUAGCGGGGGAUAACUAUUGGAAACGAUAGCUAAUACCGCAUAACAAUGGAUGACACAUGUCAUUUAUUUGAAAGGGGCAAUUGCUCCACUACAAGAUGGACCUGCGUUGUAUUAGCUAGUAGGUGAGGUAACGGCUCACCUAGGCGACGAUACAUAGCCGACCUGAGAGGGUGAUCGGCCACACUGGGACUGAGACACGGCCCAGACUCCUACGGGAGGCAGCAGUAGGGAAUCUUCGGCAAUGGGGGCAACCCUGACCGAGCAACGCCGCGUGAGUGAAGAAGGUUUUCGGAUCGUAAAGCUCUGUUGUAAGUCAAGAACGAGUGUGAGAGUGGAAAGUUCACACUGUGACGGUAGCUUACCAGAAAGGGACGGCUAACUACGUGCCAGCAGCCGCGGUAAUACGUAGGUCCCGAGCGUUGUCCGGAUUUAUUGGGCGUAAAGCGAGCGCAGGCGGUUUGAUAAGUCUGAAGUUAAAGGCUGUGGCUCAACCAUAGUUCGCUUUGGAAACUGUCAAACUUGAGUGCAGAAGGGGAGAGUGGAAUUCCAUGUGUAGCGGUGAAAUGCGUAGAUAUAUGGAGGAACACCGGUGGCGAAAGCGGCUCUCUGGUCUGUAACUGACGCUGAGGCUCGAAAGCGUGGGGAGCGAACAGGAUUAGAUACCCUGGUAGUCCACGCCGUAAACGAUGAGUGCUAGGUGUUGGAUCCUUUCCGGGAUUCAGUGCCGCAGCUAACGCAUUAAGCACUCCGCCUGGGGAGUACGACCGCAAGGUUGAAACUCAAAGGAAUUGACGGGGGCCCGCACAAGCGGUGGAGCAUGUGGUUUAAUUCGAAGCAACGCGAAGAACCUUACCAGGUCUUGACAUCCCGAUGCUAUUUCUAGAGAUAGAAAGUUACUUCGGUACAUCGGUGACAGGUGGUGCAUGGUUGUCGUCAGCUCGUGUCGUGAGAUGUUGGGUUAAGUCCCGCAACGAGCGCAACCCCUAUUGUUAGUUGCCAUCAUUCAGUUGGGCACUCUAGCGAGACUGCCGGUAAUAAACCGGAGGAAGGUGGGGAUGACGUCAAAUCAUCAUGCCCCUUAUGACCUGGGCUACACACGUGCUACAAUGGUUGGUACAACGAGUUGCGAGUCGGUGACGGCAAGCUAAUCUCUUAAAGCCAAUCUCAGUUCGGAUUGUAGGCUGCAACUCGCCUACAUGAAGUCGGAAUCGCUAGUAAUCGCGGAUCAGCACGCCGCGGUGAAUACGUUCCCGGGCCUUGUACACACCGCCCGUCACACCACGAGAGUUUGUAACAGUACGAAGUAGGGUGAG